UACGGAGGAUCCGAGCGUUAUCCGGAUUUAUUGGGUUUAUAGGGAGCGUAGGUGGAUUGUUAAGUCAGUUGUGAAAGUUUGCGGCUCAACCGUAAAAUUGCAGUUGAAACUGGCAGUCUUGAGUACAGUAGAGGUGGGCGGAAUUCGUGGUGUAGCGGUGAAAUGCUUAGAUAUCACGAAGAACUCCGAUUGCGAAGGCAGCUCACUGGACUGCAACUGACACUGAGGCUCGAAAGUGUGGGUAUCAAACAGG
Molecule: ribosomal RNA, 253 nt
Filed under: uncultured bacterium
Lineage: Bacteria
Description: partial 16S ribosomal RNA
Rfam family: Bacterial small subunit ribosomal RNA
Source: RNAcentral